This 405-nucleotide unclassified non-coding RNA is filed under the name soil metagenome. RNAcentral describes it as "partial contains 5.8S ribosomal RNA, internal transcribed spacer 2, and large subunit ribosomal RNA". The stretch from base 1 to 121 matches the Rfam family "5.8S ribosomal RNA", at positions 35 to 154 of the family's 154-position model. The record is from RNAcentral.
GAUGAAGAACGUAGCGAAAUGCGAUAAGUAAUGUGAAUUGCAGAAUUCAGUGAAUCAUCGAAUCUUUGAACGCACCUUGCGCCCUUUGGCCAUUCCGAAGGGCAUGCCUGUUUGAGUAUCAUGAACACCUCAACUCUUUAUGGUUUUCCAUGAUGAGCUUGGACUCUGGGGGUUUUGCUGGCUCACAGUCGGCUCCUCUAAAAUGAAUCAGCUUACCAGUGUUUGGUGGGUAUCAUGGGUGUGAUAACUAUCUACGCUUGUGGUUUUUCCACCAGGUAACCUUCAGCAGUGGAGGUUCGCUGGAGCUCAUAGAUGUCUCUCCUCAGUGAGGACAGCCCUUUGAAUGUUUGAUCUCAAAUCAGGUAGGGCUACCCGCUGAACUUAAGCAUAUCAAUAAGCGGAGGA